RNAcentral lists this ribosomal RNA (784 nucleotides) under Lacticaseibacillus zeae. RNAcentral's name for it is "bacterial SSU rRNA". It matches the Rfam family "Bacterial small subunit ribosomal RNA", at positions 28 to 776 of the family's 1533-position model. Lineage: Bacteria; Bacillati; Bacillota; Bacilli; Lactobacillales; Lactobacillaceae. The record is from RNAcentral.
GAUGAACGCUGGCGGCGUGCCUAAUACAUGCAAGUCGAACGAGUUCUGAUUAUUGAAAGGUGCUUGCAUCUUGAUUUAAUUUUGAACGAGUGGCGGACGGGUGAGUAACACGUGGGUAACCUGCCCUUAAGUGGGGGAUAACAUUUGGAAACAGAUGCUAAUACCGCAUAAAUCCAAGAACCGCAUGGUUCUUGGCUGAAAGAUGGCGUAAGCUAUCGCUUUUGGAUGGACCCGCGGCGUAUUAGCUAGUUGGUGAGGUAACGGCUCACCAAGGCAAUGAUACGUAGCCGAACUGAGAGGUUGAUCGGCCACAUUGGGACUGAGACACGGCCCAAACUCCUACGGGAGGCAGCAGUAGGGAAUCUUCCACAAUGGACGCAAGUCUGAUGGAGCAACGCCGCGUGAGUGAAGAAGGCUUUCGGGUCGUAAAACUCUGUUGUUGGAGAAGAAUGGUCGGCAGAGUAACUGUUGUCGGCGUGACGGUAUCCAACCAGAAAGCCACGGCUAACUACGUGCCAGCAGCCGCGGUAAUACGUAGGUGGCAAGCGUUAUCCGGAUUUAUUGGGCGUAAAGCGAGCGCAGGCGGUUUUUUAAGUCUGAUGUGAAAGCCCUCGGCUUAACCGAGGAAGUGCAUCGGAAACUGGAAAACUUGAGUGCAGAAGAGGACAGUGGAACUCCAUGUGUAGCGGUGAAAUGCGUAGAUAUAUGGAAGAACACCAGUGGCGAAGGCGGCUAUCUGGUCUGUAACUGACGCUGAGGCUCGAAAGCAUGGGUAGCGAACAGG